This 488-nucleotide long non-coding RNA is filed under the name Fukomys damarensis (Damara mole-rat). RNAcentral's name for it is "lncRNA (ENSFDAG00000030084.1)". The record is from RNAcentral. Lineage: Eukaryota; Metazoa; Chordata; Mammalia; Rodentia; Bathyergidae.
AGGAUACAGGACCAUUUGCCCAGUUCCACGGCUGGACCCCUCUCUACUUCUCUUUUGGUACCUUGGGGGACUGCAAAGCCUCUGCAUUUCUCCUGGAAGCUCAGUUCCAUCCCUUCCAUUGCCACCAGCAACCACCGGUGGAGACUUGGCAGAUAACUUUCUGGGGCUUAGCCAUCCAGGGCUGUGUGACCCCUUCAGGGGCCUCAGCUCGAGCUAGUAUGGAGUGAGAUCACUUUUCAGCCUGAUAAAUAGGACACUUCAAACCAUGCAUUCCUACCAACUACUCCACCCUGUGCCCUCUUCCUCACUUACACUGCAGAAUGGUGUGUUUUGGUGCAGUGCGAAGCUCAGUGAUUCUGACCUCAUCAGCCCUCUGCUUCAAGUAGGUGGUCUCACAGCCCACAUUCAGAUUCCACAGGCUGAGCACCAUACCCAGCUGUGUCUGAGCAGGUAGAUUUGUGAAUGGAACCCACAGGCACUGCACUCCC